AUGGUACUAGUUACACUGGCGAUGCAGCUAGAACCAAAAAGGAAGCAGAGUAGUCAGCAACACAUGUUGCUAUUCUAACAAUUAUGGGUGAUCCUAGCUCAGGAACUAAGAUCAUUGAGAUGAUUAAGUCAAAGUCUCCAUUUUAUGAUGCACUCAAAGGAAAGAGCCUACCUCUGUUACAGGCCAAUGCAGAGUUACCCACAACAAAUGCAGGAUAAUUGGUUGUUACAUUGGAUCAUAAAAAUACAGGAGUUAUAGACUGUGUGUCUGAUAACAAUGAAGCUAAAGUUGAAUUUCCCGAGUCUUCCAAGAUGCUUUCCACCUCUAAAGAAUUUCAAAUGCCAAAACAAGAUAUCCCCCCCGAAGCCAUCAAUGUAUCUCUGCAACCUGGUUUAGCAAAUUCUAUUGAUGAUGGUUCUAGUUCAAAAAAGAGGAGAGAGAACAAGAAGGCUAAUAAGAAGGCACGGCUAGAAUCUCUCUUACUGGCUACUGCAGUUCCCAUGAACCAAGUCCCUCCUUGUUUGAUGGUUCAAUAAGUUGUGUUUGUAUUAUGUAGUGAGGAACUAUGUAUACAAUUCAUGUUUUAGUGGAUUUAUAAUGAGAUGUGAUUAAAGAUAGAUAGAUAUGUACAUAUAUUUUCUUAUUUGGGAGGCAUAUAUAUAUAUAUAUACAUAUAUAUAUUUGUGUGGAUGAGUCUUGUGAUU
This is a long non-coding RNA of Cajanus cajan (pigeon pea), 704 nucleotides long. RefSeq lists it as uncharacterized. Lineage: Eukaryota; Viridiplantae; Streptophyta; Magnoliopsida; Fabales; Fabaceae. The record is from RefSeq and is a predicted model, not a curated record.